Long non-coding RNA from Triticum aestivum (bread wheat), 354 nucleotides. RefSeq lists it as uncharacterized. The transcript is spliced from 2 exons. The record is from RefSeq and is a predicted model, not a curated record. NCBI's taxonomy places the organism in Eukaryota, Viridiplantae, Streptophyta, Magnoliopsida, Poales, Poaceae.
GUGAUAUAGGCCAGGGCGGAGGACGUUGUCAAUGGAAAACAUGGCUCCGCAUGAAGGAACGCUAGGAGGAAUUGAGGAUGCGAAAAAUGUACGGAGGAAAGGGAGACUAGGAGAGGUGCACGGUGAGGCAUUGACGAAUCCUAAAAAGAGAAACUUUUGUCACGGUGUUCUCAUAUCCAUACUUGAAUCAAGUAUGCAUUUUGAAUGGCUUGCACUAAAGCAGAGUAUAAUUCUUAUACUUGUGUUUUAAAUUGACUACAUGUUGUCGUCUCCUCUUGUAUACAUCUUCUGUAUCUACGAUUUUGUGAUGGGUUGUUAAGCUACCAUUCAAGGGAAUGCAUGUUGACAAAUGUA